Molecule: ribosomal RNA, 513 nt
Filed under: uncultured bacterium
Lineage: Bacteria
Description: partial 16S ribosomal RNA
Rfam family: Bacterial small subunit ribosomal RNA
Source: RNAcentral
GACGAACGCUGGCGGCGUGCUUAACACAUGCAAGUCGAACGAAAAGAGGGAAAGAGCUUGCUCUUUCCGGAAUUGAGUGGCAAACGGGUGAGUAACACGUAAACAACCUGCCUUCAGGAUGGGGACAACAGACGGAAACGACUGCUAAUACCGAAUAAGUUCCAAGAGCCGCAUGGCCCAUGGAAGAAAAGGUGGCCUCUACCUGUAAGCUAUCGCCUGAAGAGGGGUUUGCGUCUGAUUAGCUGGUUGGAGGGGUAACGGCCCACCAAGGCGACGAUCAGUAGCCGGUCUGAGAGGAUGAACGGCCACACUGGAACUGAGACACGGUCCAGACUCCUACGGGAGGCAGCAGUGGGGAAUCUUCCGCAAUGGGCGAAAGCCUGACGGAGCAACGCCGCGUGAGUGAUGACGGCCUUCGGGUUGUAAAACUCUGUGAUCCGGGACGAAAAGGCAGAGUGCGAAGAACAAACUGCAUUGACGGUACCGGAAAAGCAAGCCACGGCUAACCACGUG